GUUUAGCACAGUUGCCUUUUAUAUUACUUUUGCAGUUCAAUUUGAAUAUGCAGUUUUCUGUAAUCUAGAAUAAAUGGAAAUUUUGACCAACUAAUAAAUAAAAUUUGCAAUGUCUUUGAAAUCUCACUUGACAAGGGUUUUGGUAAAAUAUGCGUAAUUGAUGCAGGUGAUUGAAAUAGGAAAAGGAAGCAAGGUUAAAUAUGAACUUGACAAAA
Molecule: unclassified non-coding RNA, 215 nt
Filed under: Hevea brasiliensis (rubber tree)
Lineage: Eukaryota; Viridiplantae; Streptophyta; Magnoliopsida; Malpighiales; Euphorbiaceae
Source: RNAcentral